Molecule: transfer RNA, 67 nt
Filed under: Marmota marmota marmota (Alpine marmot)
Lineage: Eukaryota; Metazoa; Chordata; Mammalia; Rodentia; Sciuridae
Also listed under: 1 other name
Rfam family: tRNA
About the family: Transfer RNA (tRNA) molecules are approximately 80 nucleotides in length. Their secondary structure includes four short double-helical elements and three loops (D, anti-codon, and T loops).
Source: Rfam by way of RNAcentral
GGUUGUGGCUCAGUGGUAGAGCACUCACCUAGCACAUGUGAGGCCCUGGGUUAAAUCCUCAGAACCA